Molecule: ribosomal RNA, 492 nt
Filed under: uncultured bacterium
Lineage: Bacteria
Description: partial 16S ribosomal RNA
Rfam family: Bacterial small subunit ribosomal RNA
Source: RNAcentral
AGUGAACGCUGGCGGUAUGCCUAACACAUGCAAGUCGAACGGCAGCACAGUAAUAGCUUGCUCUUACGGUUGGCGAGUGGCGGACGGGUGAGGAAUACAUCGGAAUCUACUUUUUCGUGGGGGAUAACGUAGGGAAACUUACGCUAAUACCGCAUACGACCUACGGGUGAAAGCAGGGGAUCUUCGGACCUUGCGCGAUUGAAUGAGCCGAUGUCGGAUUAGCUAGUUGGCGGGGUAAAGGCCCACCAAGGCGACGAUCCGUAGCUGGUCUGAGAGGAUGAUCAGCCACACUGGAACUGAGACACGGUCCAGAGUCCUACGGGAGGCAGCAGUGGGGAAUAUUGGACAAUGGGCGCAAGCCUGAUCCAGCCAUACCGCGUGGGUGAAGAAGGCCUUCGGGUUGUAAAGCCCUUUUGUUGGGAAAGAAAAGCAGCAGGUUAAUACCCCGCUGUUCUGACGGUACCCAAAGAAUAAGCACCGGCUAACUUCGUG